This is a long non-coding RNA of Anolis carolinensis (green anole), 1372 nucleotides long. RefSeq lists it as uncharacterized. The transcript is spliced from 3 exons. NCBI's taxonomy places the organism in Eukaryota, Metazoa, Chordata, Lepidosauria, Squamata, Anolidae. The record is from RefSeq and is a predicted model, not a curated record.
UGAAAGUAUAAGAAGAGCCUCCCCCAGGAGCUGAUUAAAUCCGAAAGCCUGCUGCUGGGCAUCUGUCUAGUCACUGUAGAAAGUACGGAGAUGACAGUAGACAUCAUUCUUAAAUGCUUUCUCCUUCUGAACAGGAGUUCCUUCAAAUAUCAUUGAGCUGAAAGCAAUGAAGUACUUAGGAGAUGUUUAGAUUUCUACAUCCCUUUUCCUUGAAAAGGAACCAAUGAAGAUCUUAGAAGAUGAUCUCCUGACCCCUGGGCAAUAAAUGACUUCUACUCCAAUGGAAGGAAGAGGGACACUGUGCAAAGAGAUACAGAAUUUCUGCUUCCACAACAUCCAAGGAAUGGAUCAAUAUUGGAGUGACCCCAGCUUACGUGAGUGUGCAUCCCUAAAUUGAUUCCAGCCCUAUGUUACAUUAAGAAUUUAAAACAUUAUAAUAUUAAAACACAAAUUAAAAGAAAGUUUUAAACUGCUUAUGUUAAACUCCCAAUAAUAAUUACGAAAUAGGGAAUGCAGCACAAGGCAGUUUUAUGCUCUGUCUUCCUCAGCACAGAAUCCAAGCAGUGUGAAGCUGACGAAGGAGGCCUUGCGUGUGUCCUCUGCCAGACAGCUAUAUUUAUAGCCUGCAGUUCUAUUUUACUAGCCUGCUUUUCACGUUAAUUGGACGUAUUACACUUCUUGUCGGCACUGAAUAGCACUGAAUAGCACUGAAUGAAACAUGCAGAAUCAUCACAGGAUGCCUUAAACCUACACCUGUUGAUAAACUCUACAAGUUAGCUGGCAUUGCCCCUCUUGACGUGCGACGGGAAGUUGCUGCUAACUGCGAGAGAAAAAAGGUUGAACAUUGUGAAAGCCACCCACUGCAUGACUAUCAGCCUCCUCACAGUAGACUCAAAUCAAGGAAGGGCUUCAUGAGAACCACCACUCCUCUUGACGUUCCUCCAGCAGCAGCAAGGGUGUCUCUCUGGGCAGCUAAACCUGGCAAUUCUAACUGGAUGGCCCCCCAUGUGGGUCUUCCUCCAAAGGCAAACCAAGAAUGGGCAACUUGGAAGUCCCUGAACAGACUGAGAAGCGGAGUGGGCAGAUCCGGCAAGAUCUGCCCACUCUGGCAAGAUGGCACUACCUGGAGGAAUCCUCCACCUUGUGUGACUGUGGAGCAGAACAAACAACUCCUCAUAUGUAUGCUUGCCCACAAUGCCCUGCCUCAUGUACGGAGGAGGAGUUGUUUAAAGCUACGGACAAUGCUGUUGCCUGCUUUUGGUCCAAAACUAUUUAGUUGCUUGUGAUUUUCUUUUUCUCCCCCAUCAUUUUGAAAUGUAUUUGUCGUGAAAUGCUUUUGACACGAAAUAAAUAAAUAACUUCUUGUCGGCAA